AAAUUGAAGAGUUUGAUCAUGGCUCAGAUUGAACGCUGGCGGCAGGCCUAACACAUGCAAGUCGAGCGGUAGCACAGAGAGCUUGCUCUCGGGUGACGAGCGGCGGACGGGUGAGUAAUGUCUGGGAAACUGCCUGAUGGAGGGGGAUAACUACUGGAAACGGUAGCUAAUACCGCAUAAUGUCGCAAGACCAAAGUGGGGGACCUUCGGGCCUCAUGCCAUCAGAUGUGCCCAGAUGGGAUUAGCUAGUAGGUGGGGUAACGGCUCACCUAGGCGACGAUCCCUAGCUGGUCUGAGAGGAUGACCAGCCACACUGGAACUGAGACACGGUCCAGACUCCUACGGGAGGCAGCAGUGGGGAAUAUUGCACAAUGGGCGCAAGCCUGAUGCAGCCAUGCCGCGUGUGUGAAGAAGGCCUUCGGGUUGUAAAGCACUUUCAGCGGGGAGGAAAGCGGUGAGGUUAAUAACCUCAUCGAUUGACGUUACCCGCAGAAGAAGCACCGGCUAACUCCGUGCCAGCAGCCGCGGUAAUACGGAGGGUGCAAGCGUUAAUCGGAAUUACUGGGCGUAAAGCGCACGCAGGCGGUCUGUCAAGUCGGAUGUGAAAUCCCCGGGCUCAACCUGGGAACUGCAUUCGAAACUGGCAGGCUAGAGUCUUGUAGAGGGGGGUAGAAUUCCAGGUGUAGCGGUGAAAUGCGUAGAGAUCUGGAGGAAUACCGGUGGCGAAGGCGGCCCCCUGGACAAAGACUGACGCUCAGGUGCGAAAGCGUGGGGAGCAAACAGGAUUAGAUACCCUGGUAGUCCACGCCGUAAACGAUGUCGAUUUGGAGGUUGUGCCCUUGAGGCGUGGCUUCCGGAGCUAACGCGUUAAAUCGACCGCCUGGGGAGUACGGCCGCAAGGUUAAAACUCAAAUGAAUUGACGGGGGCCCGCACAAGCGGUGGAGCAUGUGGUUUAAUUCGAUGCAACGCGAAGAACCUUACCUGGUCUUGACAUCCACAGAACUUUCCAGAGAUGGAUUGGUGCCUUCGGGAACUGUGAGACAGGUGCUGCAUGGCUGUCGUCAGCUCGUGUUGUGAAAUGUUGGGUUAAGUCCCGCAACGAGCGCAACCCUUAUCCUUUGUUGCCAGCGGUUAGGCCGGGAACUCAAAGGAGACUGCCAGUGAUAAACUGGAGGAAGGUGGGGAUGACGUCAAGUCAUCAUGGCCCUUACGACCAGGGCUACACACGUGCUACAAUGGCAUAUACAAAGAGAAGCGACCUCGCGAGAGCAAGCGGACCUCAUAAAGUAUGUCGUAGUCCGGAUUGGAGUCUGCAACUCGACUCCAUGAAGUCGGAAUCGCUAGUAAUCGUAGAUCAGAAUGCUACGGUGAAUACGUUCCCGGGCCUUGUACACACCGCCCGUCACACCAUGGGAGUGGGUUGCAAAAGAAGUAGGUAGCUUAACCUUCGGGAGGGCGCUUACCACUUUGUGAUUCAUGACUGGGGUGAAGUCGUAACAAGGUAACCGUAGGGGAACCUGCGGUUGGAUCACCUCCUUA
This 1540-nucleotide ribosomal RNA is filed under the name Klebsiella pneumoniae. RNAcentral describes it as "bacterial SSU rRNA". It matches the Rfam family "Bacterial small subunit ribosomal RNA". Lineage: Bacteria; Pseudomonadati; Pseudomonadota; Gammaproteobacteria; Enterobacterales; Enterobacteriaceae. The record is from RNAcentral.